UACGAGGGGGGCAAGCGUUGUUCGGCAUUCUUGGGCGUAAAGGGUGCGUAGGCUGUGCGGUAAGUCACCUGUGAAAUCUCCGAGCUCAACUCGGAGCCUGCAGGCGAAACUGCCGUGCUGGAGUAUGGGAGAGGUGCGUGGAAUUCCCGGUGUAGCGGGGAAAUGCGUAGAUAUCGGGAGGAACACCUGUGGCGAAAGCGGCGCACUGGACCAUUACUGACGCUGAUGCACGAAAGCGAGGGGAGUAAACAGG
RNAcentral lists this ribosomal RNA (253 nucleotides) under uncultured bacterium. RNAcentral's name for it is "partial 16S ribosomal RNA". It matches the Rfam family "Bacterial small subunit ribosomal RNA", at positions 524 to 776 of the family's 1533-position model. The record is from RNAcentral.